CGGGACGUAGCUCAAUUGGAUAGAGCAUCCCCCUCCUAAGGGGAAGGUUGUGGAUUCGAACUCCACCGUUCCGGCCA
This 77-nucleotide transfer RNA is filed under the name Alteromonas sp. RNAcentral's name for it is "tRNA-Arg". It matches the Rfam family "tRNA". From Rfam's summary of the family: Transfer RNA (tRNA) molecules are approximately 80 nucleotides in length. Their secondary structure includes four short double-helical elements and three loops (D, anti-codon, and T loops). The record is from RNAcentral. RNAcentral also lists the same sequence under 6 other names. Lineage: Bacteria; Pseudomonadati; Pseudomonadota; Gammaproteobacteria; Alteromonadales; Alteromonadaceae.